Callorhinus ursinus (northern fur seal) is the source of this 1935-nucleotide long non-coding RNA. RefSeq lists it as uncharacterized. Lineage: Eukaryota; Metazoa; Chordata; Mammalia; Carnivora; Otariidae. The record is from RefSeq and is a predicted model, not a curated record.
UCAUCGGCUCCAGUCAGCCGCUAAAUGAUUCUUCCGGGGCGAGGUCUGGGGUCCUGGGACUGGGAGCUGGUUCUGACAGGCCAGGGUCAGGCCUGGUGUCCCCUGAGAAAGACGUUCCUCCACCAACCCUUUAGCAUUCCAGGGAGUGUCUCGAGAGUGCCAGGCCAGUUCCCCUCUCUCUGGUCACCAUAGGCCCCAGAUGUUUCUAGGGUCCUAGGAAUCAGGAGAGACACUAUGUACCUACUACGUUUCAAGCACUGACCCAGGUGCUAGGGCUGCAACAGAUAAUUAAGGGCUCGGCGGGCAGAGCGAGAGGUGGCAGGGACACCGAGCGCCACCCGACAGUGGGACGGCGGGGUCCGGCUGGACAAAGGCUCGGAGUGUGGAAGCACGAGCCCUGCAGAAAGAGCCAAGCCCGGUGCUGGACAAUGAAGCAGUGAAGUGGGAGAUGGCGUGCAGGCUCUUGCCGUCAAGAGGCCAGUGAUUCCUGGAACAGAAGAAGAAAGGAGUGAAAACGGGCGUAGAGGCAAUGGAAGAAUGUUCCUGUACACGCACCCGGAGGCUUUUGCAGGAGGCGGCUGUUGGAGAACCCGGAAAACAAGCCAAGAAACAAGAGAGAGGAAGAAGACCACGCCUCGCCUGGCGGAUUCCUAAUGGCCCAGGAGACCUGAGGCUUUACUGUGGGAGGCUGGGGGGGGGGGGGGGGGAGCAGGGGGGGGCGGUGCUGGCUCGGGUGGGAGGGAAGGGCAGGCCGAAGGACAGCCACUUGCUGGUCGGUGACCUUGGGCGGGAUGCUGCCUGCUUCCCUCUGGUGAGAAUGGGGAGGAGGGGGGCAGGGGCAGGGCUGGCCGGCUGAGGUCACAGGAAGGCCCCUUCCAGCCUGAAACGCGAUCUCGGGAUGUGGGGCCUGCCAACCUGCAGCGACCCUGGGCCAGCAGAGAUGAAAGGCUGCCUGUCCCCAGCUUCCGGACCCCCGAGGCCCCAGUGCCUCAGACUUGAAGGGCAGCAAAGCUGCUGCAGCUGGCUGGAGCCGGUUGCUGGACUCCCCACCCCACCUGAUGUCAUCCAACCCUCCCUUCCCUGUUUAGCUGGGGACACUCAGGCCCAGAGAGGGCUGCUGACCUACCCGAGGUCACACAGCAAGUUGGAGGCUGAGCCAGGGCUCACCACAAAGUCUUUGGACUCCAAGUCCAGGCCUCAUUCCCUUUCCCAGAAACUUGGCUGCCUGGGGGCUUACCCCAGGGAGCUGGAGAGACCCAGGGUUAGGGGAGAGAGUUGGGAGCUGUGUCCUUUGAAGUCAAGACUUAAUGUUGACUAAAGUGCUUUUUCUUUUCUUUUUUUUUUUUUUUUUUAAGACAAAAAAGAACGUUCAGCCCCCUGCCAUGAGCCUGGACUUGCUCUGCCGGCAGGGGAAGGAAUGCAGCUCUGGCCACCGCCGCCCUGGUGGCUAACUGCAGCCUCAGCCCCUGCUGCUGCCACCCCAGUGGGCACGGGGACAAAGGCCUCUUCUCAGGCCUGUCCUCUCCAGCUCCCUGGAUCAGUGGGGGCAGAGCAUCAACCAGGAGGCUUGGUUACUGACCAGCCGAGUCGCUGUUCCUUUCUGGGCCUUCGUGCCCUUUCUAGAAAAUGGGAGCAGAGCAUCUGCCUGACCUACCUCUCAGCAUUGUGUGGGGGCUCCAAAGGGGUAAAGUCACAGACCAAAAUACGGACCUCUCCGCACCUCUUUCAGCCUGAGGCUCUGCCUAAUCAGACACCCCUGUGCCUCCCCUGACCCUCCCGCCUUCCCUCUUGCUUCACCUGGCCGGCCCGACUCACUCAGUUCGGCUCGGCAGGACCGUCCCUCGCUCUGGGGAGCCUUCCCUCACCUCCAGACUGCACCGCUCCUUCAGGGUAUCUUAUCACUGUUGUAAUUAAAUAAUUAAUUGUGUGAUUGGA